UACGGAGGGUGCGAGCGUUGUCCGGAAUCACUGGGCGUAAAGGGCGCGUAGGCGGCCUGGUAAGUAGGGGGUGAAAUCCUGCGGCUUAACCGCAGGGCUGCCUUCUAAACUGUCAGGCUCGAGCACGGUAGAGGCAGAUGGAAUUCCCGGUGUAGCGGUGGAAUGCGUAGAGAUCGGGAAGAACGUCAGUGGCGAAGGCGGUCUGCUGGGCCGUUGCUGACGCUGAGGCGCGACAGCGUGGGGAGCAAACAGG
This 253-nucleotide ribosomal RNA is filed under the name uncultured bacterium. RNAcentral describes it as "partial 16S ribosomal RNA". It matches the Rfam family "Bacterial small subunit ribosomal RNA", at positions 524 to 776 of the family's 1533-position model. The record is from RNAcentral.